This 414-nucleotide ribosomal RNA is filed under the name Pilatotrama ljubarskyi. Its description in RNAcentral is "partial 28S ribosomal RNA". It matches the Rfam family "Eukaryotic large subunit ribosomal RNA", at positions 73 to 489 of the family's 3401-position model. Lineage: Eukaryota; Fungi; Basidiomycota; Agaricomycetes; Polyporales; Polyporaceae. The record is from RNAcentral.
GAUUCCCCUANUAACUGCGAGUGAAGCGGGAAAAGCUCAAAUUUAAAAUCUGGCGGUCUUUGGCCGUCCGAGUUGUAGUCUGGAGAAGUGCUUUCCGCGCUGGACCGUGUACAAGUCUCUUGGAACAGAGCGUCAUAGAGGGUGAGAAUCCCGUCUUUGACACGGACUACCAGUGCUUUGUGAUGCGCUCUCAAAGAGUCGAGUUGUUUGGGAAUGCAGCUCAAAAUGGGUGGUGAAUUCCAUCUAAAGCUAAAUAUUGGCGAGAGACCGAUAGCGAACAAGUACCGUGAGGGAAAGAUGAAAAGCACUUUGGAAAGAGAGUUAAACAGUACGUGAAAUUGCUGAAAGGGAAACGCUUGAAGUCAGUCGCCUUGUCCGGGACUCAGCCUUGCUUCGGCUUGGUGCANUUUCCGG